Molecule: transfer RNA, 78 nt
Filed under: Gemmataceae bacterium
Lineage: Bacteria; Pseudomonadati; Planctomycetota; Planctomycetia; Gemmatales; Gemmataceae
Description: tRNA-Leu
Rfam family: tRNA
About the family: Transfer RNA (tRNA) molecules are approximately 80 nucleotides in length. Their secondary structure includes four short double-helical elements and three loops (D, anti-codon, and T loops). Further hydrogen bonds mediate the characteristic L-shaped molecular structure. tRNAs have two regions of fundamental functional importance: the anti-codon, which is responsible for specific mRNA codon recognition, and the 3' end, to which the tRNAs corresponding amino acid is attached (by aminoacyl-tRNA synthetases). tRNAs cope with the degeneracy of the genetic code in two manners: having more than one tRNA (with a specific anti-codon) for a particular amino acid; and 'wobble' base-pairing, i.e. permitting non-standard base-pairing at the 3rd anti-codon position.
Source: RNAcentral
GGCCGAGUAGGCAAACAGGCAAAGCCGCCAGGCUGAGAGUCUGGUGAUCGAUUGUGGGUUCGAUUCCCACCUCGGCUA